GGGGAGGGGGGGGGGGGCUGGUGGAAAUGAAAAAUUAGAUGCUAAAAUGUAUUUGACCCCCCCUUGAGGAUAACACAAUUAUACUUGACACCCCCCCUCCCCCCAUGCAAAUAACAAAAGGCGCAUUCGUAAUUUAAAGUUCUUAUAAAGUGAAGCCACAUUUAAUCCUGCCCUAUCAUAGUUGCCAACAUUGGGAAUAACACAUCCGUAAGAUUUCGCUUUGGGGGGCCCACAAGGCGCCACCAUAGUUGGCGCCAAGCAGAAAACUUGAAAAUAU
Paramuricea clavata is the source of this 277-nucleotide non-coding RNA. The record is from the annotation of a GenBank genome assembly. Lineage: Eukaryota; Metazoa; Cnidaria; Anthozoa; Malacalcyonacea; Plexauridae.